This 2249-nucleotide ribosomal RNA is filed under the name Euplotes aediculatus. RNAcentral describes it as "large subunit ribosomal RNA". It matches the Rfam family "Bacterial large subunit ribosomal RNA". The record is from RNAcentral. Lineage: Eukaryota; Ciliophora; Spirotrichea; Euplotida; Euplotidae.
UUUAGUUUAUUAAAAAAUAAUUAAAAUAAUAAGUUAAAUUAUUUAUAAAUAUAUUUAUUAAAAAAUAUAAUAUAAGUUAAGUAAAUUAUAUUGAAUAAUUGAAAAUAAAGAAAAUUUAAAACUAUAAUAUUUAAUAUAGAUAACGAAUAGUAAUGUGAAUGAAAGAUUAAAAGAUUAGUGAAAAGAUUUUGAAAUUUAAUACAAGAAAUUAUUUAAAGCGUUUUGUAAUAAAGUACCUUUUGCAUAAUGGACUAACAAGUUAAUAAGAUUAAUAAAUUUAAUAGUAGAUAUUGUAAAUUAAAUGAGUUUUAUUAGACUCGAAGUUAAUCGAUCUAUUAAUGAACAGGUUUUAGACCGAACUCGUAAAUGUUGCAAAAUUUUGAGAUGAUUUAUUAAUAGGGGUGAAAGGCCAAUCAAGAUUAGUGAUAGCUAGUUCUCGACGAAAAAUAUUUAAGUAUUGUUAAUACAAAAUUAAUUAAGGUAUUUUAAAUUUUAAAUUAUUAAAUUUUUAAGACUAAAUAAUGUAAUAUAAUUAAAGUAUUAAAACAGACGUAUCAUGUUAAGGUGGUACGUCAAGAGGGAAACAGCCCAGACUAUAAAAUAAGGUUUAUAAUAAAGAUUAAGUAAUAAUAAUUAUUUUUUAAAUAUUGAUAAAGAAGUAAACUUGAAAGUAGUUAUCUAUUUAAGAAAGUGUAAUAACUCAUUUAUUAGUAAAUAAAUUUGAUAGUAAUAUUAUGUUAAAAAAUAAUUAAACAAUGUGAUAAAUGUAUUUUUAACCGAAUUUAUAGAUUAAUAUAUAUAUUAGUGGUAGUGGAGUGUUUUAUAGCUAGUUAAAGUUUAAUUGAAAAAUUAAAUGAAUAGAUUAAAAGUAAUAAUGUUAGUAUGAGUAAUGUUAGUAGAUAGUUUGAUUCAGUAUAUCCGUAAACUCUAAAGUUUCAUUGCUAGAGAAUUUCACAGUGUAAAAAUCAAUUUUUUUAUUAUUGAUAGAUUUAAUAAAUUAUAAAUAUACUAUUUUAUAUAAUUAUAUUAAUAUUAAAUUUGAAUAACUUUGGUUUAAUUUUAAUGGUAUUAUCUAGAAAUAAAUAGUUUUAAAUUGUAUGAAAGCUGACACAAGUGAGUGGGUAGAAUAUACUAAGGUAACGAAUAAUUUUAAUUGAAGGAAUUCGGCAAAAUAAUCCUGUAACUUCGGAAUAAGGGAGUCUUGUAUAAGAGUCAAAAAAUUGAGGGUGGCGACUGUUUAAUAAAAACACAGGACUCUGCUAAAUUUAAAAUAUUGAAAAGAGUCUGACACCUGCCCAGUGUUGUUAAGAAAAAUAAAAUUAUAUAAUAAUUUUUAUAAACUCCAAUAAACGGCGGCUGUAUUCCUGACGGUCCUAAGGUAGCGAAAUUCAUUGGUAAUUGAUUGUUGUCCUGCAUGAAUGGUGUAACGACUGCCCUACUGUCUCCAAUUAAAGUUCGAUGAAAGUAUAUUAUAGGUGAAAAUGCCUAUUAAAUAUAACGGGACGGAAAGACCCUAUGCACCUUUACUAGAAUCUUAUAAUUUUUUAAUAUCAAAUAAAUAUUGAUUUUUGCAGAUUUAUUUAUUAUUAGAAAUAUGAUUAAAUAAAUAUAUAAUUAUAUAAUGUAAGAGUGCUAGUUUAACUGGGGCGGUUGUCUUCUAAAAAGUAACGUAGAUGUUUAUAAGAUUUAUUUGAUAAAAAAAUAGUUUAUAAUAUAAUUUAAUUAAUAAAUAGAUAUAUUUAUUAAUAGUAUACUAAUACUUAAUAUAUUGAUCCGAUAUAUAAUUUUUAUUAAAUAUCGAUAAACAGAUAAAAGGUACGCUAGGGAUAACAGGCUAAUAAUUUCGUAGAGUUCAUAUUGAUGAGAUUGUUUGGCACCUCGAUGUCGGCUCAUCACAUCCUGGUUGUGAAUCCGCUUCCAAGGGUUGAUCUGUUCUAUCAUUAAAGUGGUACGUGAGCUGGGUUUAGAACGUCGUGAGACAGUUUGGUCCUUAUCUGUUAUAUUAGUUAUAAAAAAUUUAAAAUCUUAAUUUAGUACGAGAGGACCGAAAAGGACAAACCGCUGAUUUAGUAAUUGUUUGAUUAAGAGCAGGUUACAAAGUUAAGUUUGGAAUAAUUAAUAUUUUUAGAAUAGAAAUUAUAUUAAAUUUUUUAUUAAAAACAAAAAAAAGAUAAUUUUAUAUAUUAUUAAUUAUAAUAAUAGUGAUAUUAAUAUAAAUUAAUGAUUAUAUUGUUUUACUUAAUUAUAAA